GAUGAACGCUGGCGGCGUGCUUAACACAUGCAAGUCGAACGGUGAAGGCGGAGCUUGCUCUGCUGGAUCAGUGGCGAACGGGUGAGUAACACGUGAGCAAUCUGCCCCUGACUCUGGGAUAAGCGCUGGAAACGGCGUCUAAUACUGGAUACGAGCUGCGAAGGCAUCUUCAGCAGCUGGAAAGAAUUUCGGUCAGGGAUGAGCUCGCGGCCUAUCAGCUUGUUGGUGAGGUAAUGGCUCACCAAGGCGUCGACGGGUAGCCGGCCUGAGAGGGUGACCGGCCACACUGGGACUGAGACACGGCCCAGACUCCUACGGGAGGCAGCAGUGGGGAAUAUUGCACAAUGGGCGAAAGCCUGAUGCAGCAACGCCGCGUGAGGGACGACGGCCUUCGGGUUGUAAACCUCUUUUGGCAGGGAAGAAGCGAAAGUGACGGUACCUGCAGAAAAAGCGCCGGCUAACUACGUG
This 468-nucleotide ribosomal RNA is filed under the name uncultured bacterium. RNAcentral describes it as "partial 16S ribosomal RNA". It matches the Rfam family "Bacterial small subunit ribosomal RNA", at positions 28 to 507 of the family's 1533-position model. The record is from RNAcentral.